AGCAGCCGCGGUAAUUCCAGCCCCAAUAGCGUAUAUUAAAGUUGUUGCAGUUAAAAAGCUCGUAGUUGAAUUUCGGGAUCAAUUUGCUGGUCGUGCCUCUGGCACGUACUGGUAUUAUUGGUUUCUCCCUUCUGACGAACCAUGAUGUCAUUAAUUUGAUGUCGUGGAGAAUCAGGACUGUUACUUUGAAAAAUUAGAGUGUUUAAAGCAGGCAUUAGCUUGAAUACAUUAGCAUGGAAUAAUGAAAUAGGACGUUUGAUCCUAUUUUGUUGGUUUCUAGGAUUGACGUAAUGAUUAAUAGGGAUAGUUGGGGGCAUUAGUAUUCAAUUGUCAGAGGUGAAAUUCUUGGAUUUAUUGAAGACUAACUACUGCGAAAGCAUUUGCCAAGGAUGUUUUCAUUAAUCAAGAACGAAAGUUAGGGGAUCGAAGACGAUCAGAUACCGUCGUAGUCUUAACCAUAAACUAUGCCGACUAGGGAUCGGAUGAUGUUAAUUUUAAUGACUCAUUC
Molecule: unclassified non-coding RNA, 508 nt
Filed under: uncultured Glomus
Lineage: Eukaryota; Fungi; Glomeromycota; Glomeromycetes; Glomerales; Glomeraceae
Description: SSU rRNA
Rfam family: Eukaryotic small subunit ribosomal RNA
Source: RNAcentral